Molecule: long non-coding RNA, 2350 nt
Filed under: Arachis ipaensis
Lineage: Eukaryota; Viridiplantae; Streptophyta; Magnoliopsida; Fabales; Fabaceae
Description: long non-coding RNA (AIPA_LNC001673)
Source: RNAcentral
UUGGAACAUGUUGCUUCACAUGAGAAGAGUUUCUACACUUGGUAUAGAAACAUGCUUUAUAAUAAUAUUGAGUGUUCUUUCAUAGGUUUUUGCAUCAGAACUACCACUUAACUCCUAAUAUAGAUUACAGUUUUUUUAAGAUUAAAGUUGCGAUACCCGUGUAUCAAUAAUGAGCCUCCGAAAUUCCAAGCUACAGCAUUGACACAGCCAAGGUGACCCUGCUCAAAUCAUAUCAAGCAGAUACUCAGUAAAAAUAUAACAAUGAAUGGGAAAAAAAAAUGUGAAGAUAGAUAGCAUCAACAAUUUUCGAUACUCGUAAUCUUACGGUAGAAUGCACAAUCAGGUACUCUUCAUAUGUGAUUAUUGCAUAGACAUUAAGGAUUGAACACUAUUAACAAUUAUCAAGUAACAACAAUAUAUUUUAUAAUCUAAAUUAUAAAAAAACUCACUUCAUAAAAACUAAUAAAAGAUUAAGGGUAGAGGAGUAGUUUUGUUUACAACAAUAACUUGCUAAACAAGAAAUCAGUGAAAGAGCAUUCUAUUGAAUGAAUAUUACUUCAAAUCAUCUCAAUUACAAUUAAAUGAGAGUGUGUAAUACUAAAAAGACUUUAAUAUAUACUAGCUGUCAAAGGUGUAAAACAGUUAUGUAAGCUAUCAAAUUCUAUUACAUUAGUCAUAACUAGCUCUACUUGAACUAUUCUCUACUUUCAUUCUCAAUUUUGGAGUUGACUUCUACCUUAAUACCCCCUCAAGCUCAAAUUGGGUUUAGAAAUAAUUCAAAACUUGAGUUGUAUCUUGAGUUGUAAUGUAAUUAGAUGCUAAAGAAUCAAUUAUACUUUUGAUAUUUGUAAUGUAAUCAGAUGCUAUUAAUUCAUGCUUCUUAAUCGUUUUGAUUCGUACCUUGAGUUGCUUCACUCGAUAUUUAGUUAAUUCUGCAAAAUAUUCCUCUAUCUUACUAUAGAUUUCAUUACUAAAGAAAAUGCCUACUAUUUUGUUCUUCAAAUAUGAGUCCAUAGAUGUCAAGAACCAUGAUUGCAAAUUAUAAUCAUCAUGUAGCCAUUAUUUGUAGUAUUGAGAUUCCUAAACAUUGAGUCAAUUUUAAAGACUCAAGAAUAUUAAGGAAAAACCCAUUUUUAUAGAGAUGAUCUUCCAAAUCUUGAUCUCGAAUGAAUUCAAUUGCUUGUUGUUGCCAUAUUUUAUGGUUUUAUUCAUCAAGUUUGUUAGUAAUUAGAUUGAAAGAACUGAGAGUUGAAGAAUUAUGGUGGAAAAAAAAGUUGUUCAAAAUAAUAACAUUUUAAUUUACUUUUAAAUUUUUAGAGUUGUCAAAAUUCGUAAAAUUAUCAAAAUUUGUAUAUUCUAUAAAAUUAUUUAUAAUUGAAAUAACCGUGAAUUUUUGAUACCAUUUAAAGGUUCUAUAUAUUAGAACAUUAGAAAUGAAGAAAAAAGAAAAAGAACAAAAAAAAAUAGAGAUAAUUUUAUUUACAAUAGUAACUUGCUAAACAAAAAAUCAAUGAAAGAGCAUUCUAUUGAAUGAAUAUUACUUCAAAUCAUCUCAAUUACAAUUAAAUGAGAGUGUGUAACACCAAAAAAAUUCUACCCCAAAAUAUAUAUUAGCUGUCAAAAGUAUAAAGCAGUUAUGCAAGUCAUCAAAUUCUGUUAUACUAAGAUAACUAACUCUAAACUAUUUUUUAUUCUUAUUUUCAAUCUUGGAGCUGAUUUCUGGCUUAAUAGUUUUAUUGUUAACAAAAAUAAAUCCCUAAUCUCUUCAAUGUUUGAUAGUGAUAUAAUUUAUUACCUUUUAUAUAUAUAAAUAGUUUUGAUUUAUAAAAGUAAUUUCUUAUUCUAAUUGACCAUAUGUUUUUAUAAUAUCGUAUUUGCAAUAAUAAAAAUUUAAAUAAUAUCACAUAUUAAAAUUUAAAUAUUUAAUUUGAUAACAACUUCAACCAAUUUCAUCUGAUUUGGUCUGAAUUUCUUCAUUCACUACUUGAGGUUUUCGCCUUUUUAAAUAAUUCUAGCUUAUAUUUAAUAAAAAAAGUACGAUCAAGCAAGAAAGAAAAUAAUAAUAAUAACAACAAUAAAAAAAAAAGUGAUGAUUAAGAGUGUGAAAGUUAGUUACAGUGAGACGAGGGGGGACUUUGAAGGAACAAGAAACGAGACCGGAUUGGACUCGGUCAACGCAGAUGCCUCAGAGGAUGAAGUGUUCGUAUAGAUUGGAGUCGCGAUGAGGCUUCUGAUUCUUGUUGGCUUAGCUGGUGCAGCAGCAUCGAUUCAACUCCCUUCUCCGCCUCUUAUUCGCACCUCUUUUCCGCGGGUUUUAAGAGAAUUAAAAGGGAAAAAGGGUUUUUACUCU